CAUGAGUUCGAGGUGGAUGAGGAUGGUGAGGGCAUUGUCAACGCACCGAAAGGAAGAGGAGGCAACUACACCAAUGAUGAAGACGUCUUGCUAUGCAAUACUUGGUUGCAAGUGUCGAGAGAUCCAUCUGUUGGAGGUGAUCAAAGUAGAGAUGCAUAUUGGAACCGGAUGAAGGAGCACUUUGAUUUACACAACAAGAGUGGAGUUGACCGCUCGGUACGAUCUCUUCGCUCCCGGUGGUCGACAAUCAACCAAGAUUGUCAAAAGUGGGUGGCUGCACAAAAGGCGGUUGACAAG
This 297-nucleotide ribosomal RNA is filed under the name Triticum aestivum (bread wheat). RNAcentral describes it as "partial small subunit ribosomal RNA". The record is from RNAcentral. Lineage: Eukaryota; Viridiplantae; Streptophyta; Magnoliopsida; Poales; Poaceae.